This 1382-nucleotide long non-coding RNA is filed under the name Betta splendens (Siamese fighting fish). Its description in RNAcentral is "lncRNA (ENSBSLG00000007096.1)". The record is from RNAcentral. Lineage: Eukaryota; Metazoa; Chordata; Actinopteri; Anabantiformes; Osphronemidae.
UGUUACACAAAAACAGUGAAUGGUUGAAUCAAGUGAGUUGUGUUCAGACUGUGGUAAAACUACAGUAAGUUUAACUCCCAUCUUGAUGUUUUCUACGGAGACAUUGAAUGACAAACACAUCUGUGUUGUGGACCAAAAAAAAGCAAGCCACUCCUAAACAGAACCUCUGAUCACCACUAUUGCUGUGGUAAAAAACAGUAUCACAGCACAACUCAAAGCUGCUGUAACGUAAAAGGAAGUCUUGGUGAGUUACAAGAACCAAACACAUUGUGUUUAUUAUUGUCCAUAAUUGUUUUUGCUGCUUCGCACCAGAUUCCAGAGAGAUUGUGACCUCUGAACUCAUUUAACCAGACAUUAUGUACAAACGUGUCACAGUGUCGUGAGUUUAAAUAGUAACAUUAACAUUAGUUACAGUAGCAAUAUGUUCAGAUUGAGGUAGAAGUGAGUUUAACUCCCAUCCUGAUCUUUUCCACAGUGAUAUUAAAUGACAACGGACAUCUGUGUUGUGGACCAAAAGAUAACAAGACAGUCCUCAACAGAGCCUCUGAUCACCACUAUUGCUGUGGUAAAGAACAGUAUGACAACAGAAAUCAAAGAUGCUGUCACGUUAAAGGAAGUCUUGGUGAGUUACAAGCAUAUUGUAUUUAUUGUUGUCCAUAAUUAAUUAAUGCCACAAUUAAACACUGAUGUCUAUACCAAAACCUGAUCUUAAUUUACUGACAUGAGCAUUUAAACUCAAAAAUUCAAACAGUGAAGUUCAGCUUUUGGGUUUAGAGGAGAUUUAACUGUGUUUAAUGAAGUCUUAGAACCAGAUUCUAGAGACAGAGUGCGACCUUUGAACUCAAGUAAACAGACCUUAUGUACAAACGUGUCACAAUUUCGUCAGCUUAAAUAGUAACAUUAACAUUAGGUAGCAACAUGUUCAGACUGAGGUAGAAGUGAGUUUAACUCCCAUCCUGAUCUUUUCUACAGAAAUACUGAAUAACAGCAAACAGCUGUGUUGUGGACCAGAUUAUGACAAGACCGUCCUGACCAGAACCUCUGAUCACCACUAUUGCUGUGGUAAAGAACAGUAUGACAACAGAAAUCAAAGUUGCUGUCACGUUGAAGGAAGUCUUGAAAUAUUGAAUGACAGCAAACAGCUGUGUUGUGGUCCAAAAGAUAACAAGACAGUCCUGGACAGAACCUCUGAUCAUCACUAUUGCUGUGGUAAAGAACAGUAUGACCACAGAAAUCAAAGUUGCUGUCACACUGAAGGAAAUCUUGGUGAGUUACAAGAAUCGAACAUAUUGUAUUUAUUAUUGUUUAUAAUUAUUAAUGCCACAGUUAAACACGGAUGUCUAUACCAAAACCUGAUCUCAAAACCUGAUUUACUGACAUGA